Nomascus leucogenys (northern white-cheeked gibbon) is the source of this 115-nucleotide ribosomal RNA. NCBI's taxonomy places the organism in Eukaryota, Metazoa, Chordata, Mammalia, Primates, Hylobatidae. The record is from Ensembl.
GUCUACGGCCCCACCACCCUGAAAGAGCCUGAUCUCAUCUGAUCUCAGAAGCUAAGCAGAGUGGGGUCUGCUUAGUUCUUAGAUAGGAGACUGCAAAAAACAGGUGUUAUACUUU